UAAGGCUUAAAUUAAAAUAACUCAUAAAAAAUAUCUGACACAUUUCCAACUAAGUAAUGUGUAAACCCCUAAAAACUAUUAUGAUGUAUACUUUUCACUAUUUAAUCCCAGGUUCAAAAUGGUGUUUUAUGCCUUUUAAAUAUUCUUUGGUGUCAAAAAUCAAGAGCCAAUUAAAGGAGCACAGCUAUAUCAAGCCAGAAGAUUCAAGAACUAGAUACCUAUUCCUGAUGGUCCCAGGAGAGUUGACAUUUCACACUGAGAUGGAUCAAAUACAUGAAGUUCGUUGGAACUUCUCUUCAUGUGAAGAGGGACAUCUUGGCUUGAGGAGGGUAAUUUUAAAAGCUUGAGUUCAUGCAACCUGACUGCACCAAAGACUCAUGGCAAUAUUUGUUACACCCAAUGGUAAGUUCAAAGCAGUUCUUAUAUAUUUUAAGAAUUUAGAAGACUAACAGAAUUAAGGUUGACCCUAAGUAAAAAUUUUGGUUUCUCAAUCAUAGGCAAAGAAUGACAGCAACGACUAAAACUUUAGUUAUAAUUUUGUAGCUAUAGAGAGGACGAAGGUCCCAUUAUUGACUAUAUGCAUUUUAUUUGAGUGUGUAGAUUUUUAACUGAAUGCUUAUAAAGUUCAUGACAUAAUACCAGUCACAUUUAUACAUUAUUUCUAAUUCUUAUGAUUAUGCCAAAUAAAUAUUUUACAGAUGAGGUGAAGUAUCAGAGAACUUAACUUUUGUACAAGACCACACAAUUAGAAAAGAAAAAUUUAAACUCACUAAUAUUCCCUAGUAAUAAGUAAUAUGUUUUGGAAAUCUUUAAAUCUAUGAAUUCUAAACACUAUUAUAAUUCUUUCUCUCUGUAAUUUUAUUUAUAUCAGAAUUAACUUGUAGUCCAUGUUUGUUCUCUUUAUAAUAAAAAUCAUCUCUCACAUAAGUACUAGGUAAUGUGGAAUAAUAAAAAUAUUAAGUAAUGAUUUUAUUAAGUAAUGAGUAAAUAAGGAGAUUGUCACAGAAUGUGCUCUGAAUAAGGAUCUAGAUUCUUUUUUUAAAAAAAAGAUUUUAUUUAUUUGUUUGAGAGAGAGAGAGCAUGCAAGCGAGAGAGCACAAGUGGAGUGAGGGGCAGAGGGAGGAGCAGGCUCCCCUGCCAAGCAGGGAUCAAGUGAGACUUGAUCCCAGGACUCCAGGAUCAUGACCUGAGCCAAAAGCAGAUGCCCAAUCGAUUGAGCCACCAGUGCCCCAGGAUCUGGAUUCUAACUGCAGGUCUGCCGCAGGGCUUUAACACCUUAAUCUUCAGAACAAGGGAGAUAGACUGGACAAUCUUUGGGACUUUACCAGGCCAAACAGUCCAGACUUGCACUUGACAUUGUGUUUAUCAUGUUAACCAGCUGGCUAUCCCAUUCAGUGAGAGCAUGCUAUCCACGUGGCUAGGUUCUUGAUUCAAUUUAGAAGUUUCAUUCUGUUCCAAGGGUCAUGGACACCACCUCUGACUCAUGUCAUAGCUUCUAGCUGAAGGCAAGCAAGGAAUGUGGAUUUCUUAUGGCAAAUUCGGGGGGUGGGGCAAAAUGGCAGAAGAGUAGGGUCCCCAGGUCACCUGUUCCCACCAACUUACCUAGAUAACUUUCAAAUCAUCCUGAAAACCUAUGAAUUCGGCCUGAGAUUUAAAGAGAGAACAGCUGGAAUGCUACAGAGAGAAGAGUUUGUGCUUCUAACAAGGUAGGGAGACGGAAAAAAAAAAUAAAAAAGAAUCCAGUGGGGGAUGGACCCCCAAGAGGAGCCGGGCUAAGGCCGGGCAGCGAGAUCCUCCAGGACAGGAAAGCCCAGUCCCGGAGAAGCAGGAACUUUAACAGUCUUCUUAUGGCAAAUUCAUUUGCUCUGUUGAAAGUACACAUUAAUGGUAUCUUCACAUAGCAAAGGAAACAUACUAUUUUUAAAGUGGUCCUUGCCAAUGCAGCUCCUUUAGUGUGCAAGAACCAGAAGGAGUCUAGCAUCAGAAAGAAGGGGGUCACAUACUUUCAGGAAUGAAAAGUUUUGUAACAUGAAGUAGUGCUCUGCAAGGGUCAUGGUUGGGAGCUUCGGGAACUCAGCAGCAACUGGAGCCCAGAUGCAUAAAAAGGCAGGCCUGAGCCACUAGUGCAUCCAUGGGCAUGAUUGUGCCUAAAGCAGGCUCUUCUUCUAUGUGACAUUAGUUGCAUCGCCUCAGUGGUUUUGUGAACCAGAGAUAUGUGCACACCUUGGCACAUACACAUAUGAUGGCCAAUACACACUCCUGUGUUUUUCAACCCCUAUCCUGCAGACAAAGAGACAGAAUGGGGAUUUAUCCUCAUGAGAGGUAGUUCUCAAACUCACAACAUGGUUUUGCUUUUGGUGCAGAAAUAAUAACUUGCCUAUACUCUCUCACCACUGAAAUAUUGAAUAAAUGAAUGAAUGGAAUAAUUUUUAUCUCCAAGUAUUUGGCAUUUUGUAUGAUCUUAAUUUAAAAUCCAUUUGUGCUUAAUAUUUAUGAUAUAGGUAGCAAUUAGGUUUUGAGAGCAGAUAUUGCAUUCAUCUUUGAAUAAUGGACAAGGGAAUUGUGCCUUGGAUUUUCAUAAAUUAAAACAUGCUGACAUGCCUUAUUUCUAGAGAAAGGAAAACAUGCUGUUGGACAUUCUCUGCAUAUUUAGAC
Molecule: long non-coding RNA, 2655 nt
Filed under: Canis lupus familiaris (dog)
Lineage: Eukaryota; Metazoa; Chordata; Mammalia; Carnivora; Canidae
Description: lncRNA (ENSCAFG00040011602.1)
Source: RNAcentral